Molecule: ribosomal RNA, 484 nt
Filed under: uncultured bacterium
Lineage: Bacteria
Description: partial 16S ribosomal RNA
Rfam family: Bacterial small subunit ribosomal RNA
Source: RNAcentral
AUUGAACGCUGGCGGAAUGCUUUACACAUGCAAGUCGAACGGCAGCACGGGGGCAACCCUGGUGGCGAGUGGCGAACGGGUGAGUAAUACAUCGGAACGUGCCCGGUCGUGGGGGAUAACGUAGCGAAAGUUACGCUAAUCCCGCAUACGAUCUGAGGAUGAAAGCGGGGGACCUUCGGGCCUCGCGCGAUCGGAGCGGCCGAUGUCAGAUUAGGUAGUUGGUGGGGUAAAGGCCUACCAAGCCGACGAUCUGUAGCUGGUCUGAGAGGACGACCAGCCUCACUGGGACUGAGACACGGCCCAGACUCCUACGGGAGGCAGCAGUGGGGAAUUUUGGACAAUGGGCGCAAGCCUGAUCCAGCCAUUCCGCGUGCAGGACGAAGGCCUUCGGGUUGUAAACUGCUUUUGUAUGGAACGAAAAGGCUCUGGCUAAUACCUGGGGCUCAUGACGGUACCGUAAGAAUAAGCACCGGCUAACUACGUG